AGUUGAAACGAACACACGAGUGUUGUUUCAUAGACAUCCCUACAAUGUAAAUAAUGUCGUGCCUUUAAAUAGGCAAUCGGUAUAUUGAGUGCUCGAAUCAGGGUUUCAAUAGAAAAUCGCGUAAGAGAAGAAGUUAUUAAGAAUUAUUAAGUUGAUCAAUUGCAAGAAAAUUUAUGCUGUUGGAAUGAUUUCAAGAAAAUUAAGAAAACGGAAAUAAAAGAAAACCAAGAAAAUUGGAGGUCUGGAGUCUGGGAUAUGAACUAUAUUAGUUCUUUCCCAAUCAGACUGCCGAAGAAGAAAGUUAUUAAAAUUGUGAAUUUUAUAAAGUGAUUGAAGCCUAUUUAAAGUGAGCAAGUAAAGUUAUAUUACAAGAAAAAAAAUCAUUACAAUAAUUUAUUUAAUUUAAUUAAAGCUAUUUGCAGAAAUAAGUUGAGUUUUCGCACAAAAAAAAAAACAAAAUCGUGAGCGGAGUGAUAUCAAAGAUUUGAUCCAGGAAAAAGCGUGAGUGGAUAUUUAACAAGCUAAUUUUGAAGAAAGAAAAGGAGCCAAAAAGUGAGAAGCAAUAACGUGAGUCACCGCAGUGACCGCGUGGAGCAUUGGGGUUGAGGAGUGGCUUCGUUCGGUGGAACACCGAGCCACAGAGCGUAAUUGGCACAACAAGCUGCUCGCCAAAACCAUCGGCAUCGUGCGAUCGGACUAGGGCGAUCCCCUGGAGGUUCUCCUCGUCUCGUGGCUGCGUGCCGCUAGGAGUGCCCCCAGAGUGCGUGGUCAACGGUUUUAAGGAUUCGGCCUCGCGAAACCACACCGCUACCCGUGGUUGCCUGCGAACGCGAGUAGUCUGACUGGGGAAAGAAACCCACAGCCAACGAGAUCCGCCCCCACACUCACGUCCCGGGUAUAGAAGAUCCAUGGAAUUUAGUCCGAUCGCCUCCAACUCCCACCCCACGUUCGUGUAAGUACCACGCCACGGUUGAUGGUAUUAGUGCUCUCCAGACUGGGCCGUCUGAGCUAUUAGCGUCGUGUUUUGCAUCGAACAUCGAGGCGACGCCUGGUACCGAGCCCUCGGUGCACUCGGUCGGCGACCAUCCGACUCCAUCACCAACAACUGAGAACGCCUGGCUUAGCUCGACUAACAGCCGGCCGUCGGUCACCGCACGAAGAUCGGCGUCGCUGCCGGCCGCUACACCAUCGGUAGGCUGGUCGAUCAGGUAACUCACCCGGCAGAGAAUGUAAGUACCUGACAUUUUUAUC
This is a long non-coding RNA of Aedes albopictus (Asian tiger mosquito), 1251 nucleotides long. RefSeq lists it as uncharacterized. NCBI's taxonomy places the organism in Eukaryota, Metazoa, Arthropoda, Insecta, Diptera, Culicidae. The record is from RefSeq and is a predicted model, not a curated record. The transcript has 3 exons.